RNAcentral lists this ribosomal RNA (433 nucleotides) under uncultured bacterium. RNAcentral describes it as "partial 16S ribosomal RNA". It matches the Rfam family "Bacterial small subunit ribosomal RNA", at positions 29 to 507 of the family's 1533-position model. The record is from RNAcentral.
AACGAACGCUGGCGGCAUGCCUAACACAUGCAAGUCGAACGAGACCUUCGGGUCUAGUGGCGCACGGGUGCGUAACGCGUGGGAACCUGCCCUUAGGUUCGGAAUAACUCCCCGAAAGGGGUGCUAAUACCGGAUAAUGUCUUCGGACCAAAGAUUUAUCGCCUUUGGAUGGGCCCGCGUUGGAUUAGCUAGUUGGUAGGGUAAAAGCCUACCAAGGCGACGAUGCAUAGCUGGUCUGGGAGGAUGAUCAGCCACACUGGGACUGAGACACGGCCCAGACUCCUACGCGAGGCAGCAGUGGGGAAUAUUGGACGCUGGGCGAAAGCCUGAUCCAGCAAUGCGGCGUGAGUGAUGAAGGCGUUAGGGUUGUAAAGCUCUUUUACCCGAGAUGAUAAUGACGGUACCGGGAGAAUAAGCACCGGCUAACUACGUG